GGGGGGAAGGGGUGUGUGGAGGAAUAAACAGGAAUUAUUUGUUUCAGGAACUUCAUUGACUAUCAGCAUUUAUUGGUUAUUUGAAUUGCAUAUAUUCAUCAGUUUGCAUUCUGCGCAAUGAAAUCAACAGUAGAAAUUUCUCAUUCUAUGGUUGAUAACUUCAAUAUUAUUAAUUCUCAUUACAAUAACAUGCCAAGUAAUCUUAAAGGUAAGACGGACACCAGUGGAAACAGCUCCAUCAAGG
RNAcentral lists this unclassified non-coding RNA (244 nucleotides) under Hevea brasiliensis (rubber tree). Lineage: Eukaryota; Viridiplantae; Streptophyta; Magnoliopsida; Malpighiales; Euphorbiaceae. The record is from RNAcentral.